AGUGAACGCUGGCGGUAGGCCUAACACAUGCAAGUCGAACGGCAGCACAGUAAGAGCUUGCUCUUACGGGUGGCGAGUGGCGGACGGGUGAGGAAUACAUCGGAAUCUACUUUUUCGUGGGGGAUAACGUAGGGAAACUUACGCUAAUACCGCAUACGACCUACGGGUGAAAGCAGGGGAUCUUCGGACCUUGCGCGAUUGAAUGAGCCGAUGUCGGAUUAGCUAGUUGGCGGGGUAAAGGCCCACCAAGGCGACGAUCCGUAGCUGGUCUGAGAGGAUGAUCAGCCACACUGGAACUGAGACACGGUCCAGACUCCUACGGGAGGCAGCAGUGGGGAAUAUUGGACAAAGGGCGCAAGCCUGAUCCAGCCAUACCGCGUGGGUGAAGAAGGCCUUCGGGUUGUAAAGCCCUUUUGUUGGGAAAGAAAAGCAGCAGGUUAAUACCCCGCUGUUCUGACGGUGCCCAAAGAAUAAGCACCGGCUAACUUCGUG
This 492-nucleotide ribosomal RNA is filed under the name uncultured bacterium. Its description in RNAcentral is "partial 16S ribosomal RNA". It matches the Rfam family "Bacterial small subunit ribosomal RNA", at positions 29 to 507 of the family's 1533-position model. The record is from RNAcentral.